GUGAACGCUGGCGGUAGGCCUAACACAUGCAAGUCGAACGGCAGCACAGUAAGAGCUUGCUCUUACGGGUGGCGAGUGGCGGACGGGUGAGGAAUACAUCGGAAUCUACUUUUUCGUGGGGGAUAACGUAGGGAAACUUACGCUAAUACCGCAUACGACCUACGGGUGAAAGCAGGGGAUCUUCGGACCUUGCGCGAUUGAAUGAGCCGAUGUCGGAUUAGCUAGUUGGCGGGGUAAAGGCCCACCAAGGCGACGAUCCGUAGCUGGUCUGAGAGGAUGAUCAGACACACUGGAACUGAGACACGGUACAGACUCCUACGGGAGGCAGCAGUGGGGAAUAUUGGACAAAGGGCGAAAGCCUGAUCCAGCCAUACCGCGUGGGUGAAGAAGGACUUCGGGUUGUAAAGCCCUUUUGUUGGGAAAGAAAAGCAGCAGGUUAAUACCCCGCUGUUCUGACGGUACCCAAAGAAUAAGCACCGGCUAACUUCGUG
Molecule: ribosomal RNA, 491 nt
Filed under: uncultured bacterium
Lineage: Bacteria
Description: partial 16S ribosomal RNA
Rfam family: Bacterial small subunit ribosomal RNA
Source: RNAcentral